This is a long non-coding RNA of Amblyraja radiata (thorny skate), 530 nucleotides long. RefSeq lists it as uncharacterized. The record is from RefSeq and is a predicted model, not a curated record. NCBI's taxonomy places the organism in Eukaryota, Metazoa, Chordata, Chondrichthyes, Rajiformes, Rajidae. The transcript has 3 exons.
GUGGAUUAAUGCAGCUGCUGUCAAAGCGCAUGCAGUUUUCCACGAGAAAUGUCUAUGAAGUCUUGAAAUAUUGCCUCUGCAAUUUUAUUUGAGCUACAGGUUGGGGAUUUGUCCACUUCUACAGCCAAGGAUAGAACAGCCUUGGCUAUGGAUUGCUGGGGCACAUCAUGUUUCAGCUGAAAGUCAUCCUCAAGUGUCUGAACAACAUACUGUAGGAACAACAGUCGACUACCUUUGGUCAGAGAAUCGUUCCUAUGAGGAUCCUUGAAAUACACAGACAGACACACACACGUCAUGCAGGAUUAGAUAAGGACAAAGUUAAAAAUGCAUUUAUUUUUGUUCACAUGCUCUAAAAUAGUGUGAUGCACUGUUCGUUACCUCUGUAUUCUAACUAAGAACAUUUGAAUAAUCGAUUUAUGGCUGACUCCAUAGUAAUCAGAAAUUUACUAUCUGCAAUAUCCCUUUCAUUCUCAAAACACUGUCCAUCAGGCAACUUUAUGAAAAAAACUGAAUAAAAAUACAUUAAAUAA